This 459-nucleotide ribosomal RNA is filed under the name uncultured bacterium. RNAcentral describes it as "bacterial SSU rRNA". It matches the Rfam family "Bacterial small subunit ribosomal RNA", at positions 30 to 482 of the family's 1533-position model. The record is from RNAcentral.
AUUGAACGCUGGCGGCAGGCCUAACACAUGCAAGUCGAGCGGAUGAGUGGAGCUUGCUCCAUGAUUCAGCGGCGGACGGGUGAGUAAUGCCUAGGAAUCUGCCUGGUAGUGGGGGACAACGUUUCGAAAGGAACGCUAAUACCGCAUACGUCCUACGGGAGAAAGCAGGGGACCUUCGGGCCUUGCGCUAUCAGAUGAGCCUAGGUCGGAUUAGCUAGUAGGUGAGGUAAUGGCUCACCUAGGCGACGAUCCGUAACUGGUCUGAGAGGAUGAUCAGUCACACUGGAACUGAGACACGGUCCAGACUCCUACGGGAGGCAGCAGUGGGAAUAUUGGACAAAUGGGCGAAAGCCUGAUCCAGCCAUGCCGCGUGUGUGAAGAAGGUCUUCGGAUUGUAAAGCACUUUAAGUUGGGAGGAAGGGCAGUAAGUUAAUACCUUGCUGUUUGUACGUUACCAAC